CCUACGGGAGGCUGCAGUAGGGAAUCUUCCGCAAUGGACGAAAGUCUGACGGAGCAACGCCGCGUGAGCGAUGAAGGCCUUCGGGUCGUAAAGCUCUGUCCUAAGGGCAGAAUAUCGACGGUACGUCAGGAGGAAGCCCCGGCUAACUACGUGCAAGCAGCCGCGGGAAAACGUAGGGGGCUAGCGUUAUCCGGAAUUACUGGGCGUAAAGGGGGCGUAGGCGGCCCUUCAAGUGCGAGGUGAAAGGGUACGGCUCAACCGUAGUAAGUCUUUGAAACCGUAGGGGUUGAGGGCAGUCGAGGAGAGUGGAAUGCCCAGUGUAGCGGUGAAAUGGGUAGAGAUUGGGAGGAACACUAGUUGCGAAGGCGGCUCUCUGGGCUGUAACUGACGCUGGGGCACGAAAGCGUGGGGAGCGAACAGGAUUAGAUACCCCGGUAGUC
RNAcentral lists this ribosomal RNA (440 nucleotides) under uncultured bacterium. Its description in RNAcentral is "bacterial SSU rRNA". It matches the Rfam family "Bacterial small subunit ribosomal RNA", at positions 338 to 795 of the family's 1533-position model. The record is from RNAcentral.